Molecule: ribosomal RNA, 113 nt
Filed under: Prevotella sp.
Lineage: Bacteria; Pseudomonadati; Bacteroidota; Bacteroidia; Bacteroidales; Prevotellaceae
Source: RNAcentral
CAAGGUGGCAAUAGUAGCGGUGAAACACCUCUAACCAUUCCGAACAGAGAAGUUAAGACCGCCUGCGCCGAUGGUACUGCCAGAAAAGGCGGGAGAGUAGGAGGCUGCCAUGG